CUCAGAAUUCUUAUUAAUUCACAUGUGCCCCCCAAAAUACGCAGUGUGACAAACUGAAUGUGCUGCUCAGUGCACUGAAUGGGAAACAGGAACAAAUGCAGAGCUGUGUCCUUGUCUCAUUAACAAGGAUGCUCUCUCAACAAAACAGCAGGCAAACACUGUGAAUUCUGCUUAAGUAGAGUAAGGUGGCUGUGUAUAUGCUAGUGUCAUUGCUUAGAUGAAGCUGGUAUGGAGGAACCAAAUCAAACUUAUCUUCAGUGCCUGAGCUGGGCAGGUUCUGAAAGGCUCACUGAUGGCAGCUUGCUGUAGGCAACUGACCAACUUGGAGAGAGAUCUGCUUUCUUGCUACAAAUUUUCCCUUGUUCUGUGCUCUCUUAAGUCACUCACGUACACAUGGCAAUUGAGUAUUGCCCGAGAUGUAAAGCAGCAGAACUCAUCGUAUCUCUCAGAAUGUAUGUGUUAUUUUUAGCCUAAGUAUUUUGCAUCUUCAGUUACUCUUUCCUAAGGCUUUUGUGUUUUAUCUCAUAAGGUUUUGUGAUACGAUCAUCCAACAUCAGAGCUAUAGCGGUAGUAGCAAGGCCAUCUUGACUAAAUUUUUCAGCCCCAGGCAAUGUUGUUCAGGCUGUGUGAGUAAGAGCAGGACUGGGCUUCGGUGUUCUUUGGACUGCUGCAUAGUUAACACGUGAACUCAAGGUAUGACAUAGGUACUGGGAAGACCACUCAGUCAGUCACUUUCUUUGUUUGUCGUGAGUUGUCUGUUUGUCCCAAGUGUAAAUUUCCUAACCAUCAUCAUAGGUCUUGUGCUAUUGCAGCCACUUCAUCGUUUAUGUGGCACCAAGAUUUUUCACACACUUUCUCCCACAGCUUUGCCCCUCUCAUUUGAGCUUGUGUUGGUGAGGUGGGUAUUGCCUUUUUCUUUUUCCUUCCCAUCAGGCAAAAAUUAUGCUGGAGUAGAGGAUUUCUCCAAGCUCAAGGGAUGAAUCAGUGGUUGGAUUAUUGUAGUCCUAUGUUUUCUGACUUUUCAUGCAUGCUUUUUUUUUAUAGGCUUUGCUAUUCAAAACCUGCCCCUGCCUUCUGGCACCUUCUUAAUUUCUCCAGCAGGGCCAGAUCCUUUGUGCUGUCUGCCUAUCAGACCUCCAACUGAAAUUACUGAACUCUUCCACGGGUUUUACAUUUUCAGCUUAGAUGAUGGGCACAGUACAAAGCAGUGUGAGUAGCAGCUGCUUUUUUUCUGUGCUGUUCCAGUUCUGACUAUCCCGCUCUGGCUGAACUGCACGAGGUUAUGUUCUAUGGUGAUAAAUGUGAG
Molecule: long non-coding RNA, 1306 nt
Organism: Gallus gallus (chicken)
Lineage: Eukaryota; Metazoa; Chordata; Aves; Galliformes; Phasianidae
Source: Ensembl